Molecule: ribosomal RNA, 256 nt
Filed under: uncultured bacterium
Lineage: Bacteria
Description: partial 16S ribosomal RNA
Rfam family: Bacterial small subunit ribosomal RNA
Source: RNAcentral
UACAGAGACCUCAAGCGUUAUCCGGAAUCAUUGGGCGUAAAGCGUACCGAUAGGUGGUUUUACAAGUCAGACGUGAAAUCUCUCAGCUUAACUGGGAGACUGUCUUUUGAAACUGUAAAACUAGAGGGGCAAAGAGGAAGCUGGAACAAGCGGUGUAGUAGUGAAAUGCGUUGAUAUCAGGAAGAACACCCGUGGCUAAGGCGGCUCUCUAGUACGGUACUGACGCUGAGACGCGAAAGCGUGGGGAGCGAACAGG